Syngnathus typhle (broad-nosed pipefish) is the source of this 455-nucleotide long non-coding RNA. RefSeq lists it as uncharacterized. The transcript is spliced from 4 exons. The record is from RefSeq and is a predicted model, not a curated record. NCBI's taxonomy places the organism in Eukaryota, Metazoa, Chordata, Actinopteri, Syngnathiformes, Syngnathidae.
UGAGAUGUGCUCAUUUUCCUCAAGCUACUGUCACCCAUCGCUGAAUUGCAGAAGCCGACAUCAUCACUACCCUUCACCCUCUCUUUCGUCAGCUCAUUAAACUGAAAAGCAGAUGGAUGGGGCGUGGAGACUACAGCAGCUGUUGACUUUGCAAUGGUGACACAAGACUUUGAAGACCCCAACGGUGAGUCGAUCUUCGCCCUGAGCGCAGAGCAGAGCUUCCUUCAGAGAUUUUCCAGCAGACUGCAUGGCACAAUGGCUACAACAGGCCUGUUGCCCUCCGUCUGCCUCUGGGACGCGUGCCUUUAGAACUCUUCCAAAGUCGGGGCGGCAUCCUUUGAAUGAAAGGAUCAGACGAGACCUUUUGACCUUUCGAUGAUUUUGGAAUCAUGAAACCACACAAGAGGAAAACCCUUCUGUCAAAGUUUUUUUUUUUUUAAAUCAACAUGGUGAGG